Molecule: ribosomal RNA, 677 nt
Filed under: uncultured Lysobacterales bacterium
Lineage: Bacteria; Pseudomonadati; Pseudomonadota; Gammaproteobacteria; Lysobacterales
Description: bacterial SSU rRNA
Rfam family: Bacterial small subunit ribosomal RNA
Source: RNAcentral
UACGUCCUUUUGUCGGGAGAUGAUUGGAGAAAGUGGGGGACCUUCGGGCCUCACGCGAACAGAUGAGCCGAUGUCGGAUUAGCUGGUUGGUGGGGUAAAGGCCUACCAAGGCGACGAUCCGUAGCUGGUCUGGGAGGAUGAUCAGCCACACUGGAACUGAGACACGGUCCAGACUCCUACGGGAGGCAGCAGUGGGGAAUAUUGGACAAUGGGGGCAACCCUGAUCCAGCCAUGCCGCGUGUGUGAAGAAGGCCCUUGGGUUGUAAAGCACUUUUGUUGGGGAAGAAAAGUUUUCGGUGAAUAACUGGAGACGCUGACGGUACCCAAAGAAUAAGCACCGGCUAACUUCGUGCCAGCAGCCGCGGUAAUACGAAGGGUGCAAGCGUUACUCGGAAUCACUGGGCGUAAAGGAUGCGCAGGCGGCCUGCCAAGUCUGAUGUGAAAGCCCUGGGCUCAACCUGGGAACGGCAUUGGAAACUGGUGGGCUGGAGUACGGUAGAGGGUGGUGGAAUUCCUGGUGUAGCAGUGAAAUGCGUAGAGAUCAGGAGGAACAUCCGUGGCGAAGGCGGCCACCUGGACCAGUACUGACGCUGAGGCACGAAAGCGUGGGGAGCAAACAGGAUUAGAUACCCUGGUAGUCCACGCCCUAAACGAUGCGAACUGGAUGUUGGGGGCAU